This 441-nucleotide ribosomal RNA is filed under the name uncultured Bacillota bacterium. Its description in RNAcentral is "bacterial SSU rRNA". It matches the Rfam family "Bacterial small subunit ribosomal RNA", at positions 917 to 1359 of the family's 1533-position model. The record is from RNAcentral. Lineage: Bacteria; Bacillati; Bacillota.
GGGCCCGCACAAGCAGUGGAUUAUGUGGUUUAAUUCGACGCAACGCGAAGAACCUUACCAGGACUUGACAUCCCAAGAACUCGCUAGAGAUAGCUUGGUGCCCUUCGGGGAACUUGGAGACAGGUGGUGCAUGGUUGUCGUCAGCUCGUGUCGUGAGAUGUUGGGUUAAGUCCCGCAACGAGCGCAACCCUUGCCAUUAGUUGCUACAUUGAGUUGAGCACUCUAAUGGGACCGCUACCGACAAGGUGGAGGAAGGUGGGGACGACGUCAAAUCAUCAUGCCCCUUAUGUCCUGGGCUACACACGUAAUACAAUGGCCGUUAACAACGAGAUGCAAACCCGCGAGGGGGAGCGAACCUCCAAAAACGGUCUCAGUUCGGAUCGUAGGCUGCAACCCGCUGCGUGAAGUUGGAAUUGCUAGUAAUCGCGGAUCAGCAUGCCG